Molecule: long non-coding RNA, 7508 nt
Filed under: Lactuca sativa (garden lettuce)
Lineage: Eukaryota; Viridiplantae; Streptophyta; Magnoliopsida; Asterales; Asteraceae
Description: long non-coding RNA (LSAT_LNC005198)
Source: RNAcentral
CUUCAGUGAUGUAUGAUUUGGGUUGUUGGCCGGAUAGAUCAAGAAAGCCACCGCCACCACCGUGAGGUGGUGGUUGCCGCCGAGCACCGCCGCCGGCCACCAUGGUGUGGUUGUGUGUAUGAGUGUGUUAGUUAGUGUGUGUGGAUUAUGUUUGGAUGAAUCAUUGUAAUUGUAAUCAGUUUGUUUAAUAAGAAAAAAUAAUAGUAACCACCACCGUGAGCCGCCAUUGAACACCACUACCCGAGGUGGUAGUGGGUGGUGCCCCGCUAGCAAAUGCUAAUGGGCUUAGAGAAUUGUUUUGGGCCUAUUGGGCCAUGUUUGGGUGAAAACCCUAAUUAUGAGUAUUGGUCCUUAGACUUAUUUGGCCCACUUGUGGGCCAUUACGAUUGGAAUGUGAAUUAAGCCCAAAUUAUUCCAUGCCAUUUAUCUAGUAGAAUAAAGGACUUAAUGGACUAAGUCCUUAAUGGGCUAAUUGAGAAAAUACUAAUAUUUGAGAAAUUAUCAGGACACGGAUGAGAAUUAUUUAAUAAGUGAAAUAUUAAAAAAUAAUCAUUGGCAGAAAUUAAUCUAAGCAAUAAUGGACUUAAUGAAUUAAGUCCUUAGUGGGUUAAGCCCUUAAUGGGUUAAGUGAGAAACACUUAACCCUAGUUAUCAUUUGAUGUGAAACCCUAAUUUCACUUGGGCUUUGUGUUGGGCCAUCAAUGACUAAUCAAAUGGACUAGAGUAAUUAGUUGGGCUCUAAGGUAAGGCCAAUAUGAAGGAUUGGGCCCAAUUUGGAAAAUUGGGCCAUAGAUGGGCCAUAGUUAGGCCUAGAUGGUUGUAUGAUAUUGGGCCCUUAGAAUGAGACAUGUUGGACUGGACUGAACAAUUGGGCCUUAAGGGAAGUCCAUGUAGAAGUUUGGGCCCAAUUUGGAAAGUUGGGCCAUAGGUUGGGCUUUGAUCCCUAGUUGACUUUGGGCCUAUGGAUUGGGCCUUGGGCUUGGGUAAGCCAAGCUAGGGGUAAUGUAGUAAUUAUCCAAAGUAUGUAUUUAUUGUUAUGAGUUCGAACCCAAUUAUUAAUUGGGUGUUAUUUUGGUGUUGACAAUUCGGGAAUCUGUCAUCCAACAGCUAGGGUUGAGUUACGGGACUUCAGCAGUGUGGGAUUGUGUCUACGGGACUUCAGCAGUGUGAGGUGAGUUUCCUUCCAGUAGGAAUGGGUCUACGGCCACAAUGUCGGCCCGUUUAGUUAGAAGUAGCUCCGGACUUCGGUCUGACGCAGUAGUUCAGUGUGCUUGGUGUCUGUGUGAUUCAAGCAUGUUUAUGUGUUAUAUGUUCCGGCCUUUAGUCCGAUGCAGUAUGCAGUAUAUGUGUUUAUACUAGUUGAUAUGUGUUUAUGCUAUGCUAUGAUCAGUCAUUUCCGGACCUCGGUCCGAUGCAGGGGACAAGGUCCCAGUUAGUUCGGGCUUCAGCCCGAUGCAGUUUCCGGACUUCAGUCUGAUGCAGGGGACAUGGUCCCAAUUAGUCCGGGCUUCGACCCGAUGCAGUUUCCGGACUUCGGUCUGAUGCAGGGGACAUGUUCCCAGUCAGUCCGGGUUUCAGACCGAUGCAUUUUCCGCACUUCGGUCCGAUGCAGGGGGCAAGGCCCCAGUUAGUCUGGGCUUCGGCUCGAUUCAAUUUCCGGACUUUGGUCCGAUGCAGUGGGCAAGGCCCAGUAUGUGUUUACAUGUUAUUGUAUGGUAUGUGGUAGUUUGGGGGAGCUCACUGAGCUUCGUGCUUACAGUUUCAGUUUUGGUUUCAGGUACUUCCACAAGUAAAGAGAAGAGCUCGGGAUGAUGGCAUCGUACACACCACAGCUUCAGUCUUUUCCUGGGAGUUUGUUUUGAUUCAUAGUUUGAUUUGGCACAAAUGUUCAUGACAUUUUAUUAUGGGUUGAGAUAAUUGACACAUGGUUUUAUUAUGUGACAAUCAGAAUAUGAUUUUUAUUAUUAUUAAAACAAAAAAAUUUGGGUCGCAUUUUUGGAUGUUACAAGUUGGUAUCAGAGCCUUGGUUUGAGGGAUUCGGGCACACUUUCGGGUGUGUCUAAACUCAAACUAAGGAAGUGGUAAAAUGUUUUCAAAAGAAAAGAGUUUUAGAAAAGUGAAAAGAAUUUUUUUAGAAAGAAAAGAACUUUGAAAAGAGAAAAGGUGUGGUGCAUACGAUCAACCGAGCUCAAGUAAGUACUCCCAAAUUACCUAUACAAGUUUAUGUUAUGAAUAUCAGUUUCAGUUGCAGUAGAACAACAUGCUAGAAUAGGACUUAGGAUCUAGGAAGGAUGCCUUAUGUGCCUAUUAUAUGUGUAUCAGCUUUAUGAGAAUUGCACGCUAGUUAGGGCUAAGGAUCUAGGGAGGAUGCCUUAUGUGCCUAUUAUAUGUGUACCAGCUUAUUGAGAGAUGCAUGCUAGUACAGAGUAGCCAGUAUGAUAGCCAGAGUAGUAUAUGCUUUACUAUAUGUACUCAACGCCCGAAUGAUGCUUGCUUUGUGCUCCUAGAAGUUCUAGUUGUCUUUCACUAACUAGUAAACGAAUAUGAUAAGUUACAUAUUGCAAGGACUAAAUAAUUUCAGAAGGUUAGGUCUAGCCCUAUUUCGAAGCUCUUGUCUGAGUCCAACCGUUGUAGGGUAGGGUCUCUCAUUCGAAGAAUUAUCUAGUCUGAGUAAUAUGUAAUAGUACUCGCGAGCUAGUUAGGGGAAGAAAGCAUGAACUUCUUAUGCAGCUGAUGGCGGGGAGUGAGUUGGUGGAGUCAGAGAUUUUCCUAGGGCAAGCCUAGGAUGAGAGUAGUAGAGAUCAGCAGUAGUAGAAGUGACUUGGUGGAGUCGAGGUGGUACUUGAGGAAAGUACGGAUAGAUGUGGAAGGUAGUAUGGGCCCGUUCUACUGAAAGCAGAGGAUCCGUACUCGAAUCAAGGAAGGAUGAGAUGAAUCCAGGGAACUUGUAGUGUGUGAGAUCCCUCGAGUUUGGAUAAGUAUUGUGAUGUUAGUGAUGGAAUGUUGCCGAGUAUAGUGACGCUACAUGGUAGACCAGAUGGUAGUUCUGGUGUCGAUAGGAGAUCAGGAUCAGACUCCGUAUCUGGGUAGCUUGAUGGUCAGAUGAGGGACUUCAUUCUAUCUGAGAGUACGCGCAGUAUCAUUGACCAGACUCCUAUGAUCCUCAGUGUGAUCAAAGAGGGCAGUGUAGAGAUUAGUGAUGAGAGGCCGAGUACAUUCUGCACUAAGAUAGCAGUCAUGAUAGAGACUAGUACGUUGAUGUUUCGGGAAUUCAGAGUUUGUGAGGUUUCAGAUUGUCAUGGGGGUUAGGGACCCCAUCGUUAACAGCAGAUGGUUGGCAGAUGUCGCCAAUGCUUUUUGUACCAUACGUUGUCUUGAAAGGAGACAAGAUCUGACUUACUUCCUAUCUCCAGAGGGAUAGAGCACGAGAUUGAUUGGAAGAAGUUAGUAAUGAGUUGAGUGAUGGUACGGUUAAUGCUAUGCCAUGGGAUGACUUUUAGAUCAGAUUCUGGGCAGAGUGUGCCCAGGCGAUUGAGGUGUAACAGUUAGUGCAAGAGUUGUUAGAUCUCAACCAGACGACUGAGACUGUGGUAGAGAUCACCGCCAAGUCUCACGGAAGUGCUUAGAUGGUACCCCAGUAUGUAGCAGAUGAGGAAAUAAAGAAAGUAAGUUAUCAGAACAUACUAUAGAAUGAUAGUAUAGAGAUCAUGAGUAUAUCGGGGUGCAAGACCCUGAAUGAUAUCACUUCCUGAGCUUGAGAACGAGAUAUGGACUUGGAGCACAUUGGUAAGAGGGAACCAGAUCAGUUGCUUAGAGUGAGGGGUCUCGGGAGGAGACCGUAGAUUUCAGAUCGACUUCUGAGAGGCCAGCAGGGUUAGAUUCGGUGCAGCACGUGUGGGAAACUGCACAAGGGAUCCUUUCGUUUUGAGGGUUGGAGUAAGUGUGGCCCUGAGUUACCCUCGUUUUGUGUCUAGAUUAUAUUUUCAAGAGAUCUCAUAUGCCAAUUGCAUGCCGAGAAGCAUUAACGAAUAAUGAUAGAGCAGUUCCCCAGAUUACGGGAUUGGGAAAGUACAGCGUCAUCUUGGUUUAUUCCAAGACUGAGGAGCAGCACGAGAAGCACCUGAGGGAGGUGCUAGAGACUUUGAGGAGGGAGAGAAUUUUCGCAAGGCUCUCCAAUUGUGAGUUUUGGUUGCACGGGGCGCAAUUUCUUGGGCACCUUGUCAAUCAGAAGGGUAUUCUAGUCAACCCGUCCAAGAUAGAGGUCGUGAUGCAGUGCGAAAUUCCGAGGUCUCCAAUUGAGAUUCGGAGCUUCCUGGGUUUAGUGGGUUAUUACCGAAGAUCUAUUCAGAUUUUUAUAAGUUGUGUGAUCUUUUGGAUUAAAUGGUGUUGAACACUAGCAAUGCUAAGCGUGGUCUCAGCAGAUGGAGCAUAGAAUGGUGAGAAGGAUUGGGAAUUCUUCCAGUCUUGUGUGCUGUAAGGCAUUAGCUGAAUCAAAGUGGGAGAGAAUCGCCCAAGGAUUCCGAAGUGGGAGUAGUUUUGAGACUAGGAUAAGUCUUACAUCCUUGUCUGAAAGGAAGACAGCCCAUGUGGCUGUAUGGUUCGAGGAGAGUGUGAUAUGGAAGUUCGGAAAAACUCGCCAAUGUUGAGAUCGCGUUCUCAGAAUGUUUGCUAGCAAGCCUUAGGGAAUCCGGUUGGGGAUUCCAGACAGGACAUGAGUUCAGUUGAGUGCGGGUCAAGCGCGUGUUCGAUCCUGUAUGGAAAGUGUUGUAAGUCUGGGCGUGUAGCCGUAGCAUUCACUAGCAGUCGGAUAGUAUUAGAGUGAUGUAAGUCUGCGGGUGUAGCCAUAGCAUUUAGUAGCAGUCAGAUAGUGUUAGUGAUGUAAGUCCGCGGGUGUAGCCGUAGCAUUCACUAGCAGUCAAAUAGUGUUAGUGUUGUAAGUAUGCAGGUGUAGCCGUAGCAUUCACUAGCAGCCAGUUUGUGUUAGAGUGUUGUAAGUCUGCGGGUGUAACCGUAGCAUUCACUAGCAGCUAGAUAGUGUUAGAGUGUUGUAAGUCUGCGGGAGUAGUCGUAGCAUUCACUAGCAGCAGAUAGUGAUAAAGUGUUGUAAGUCUACGAGUGUAGCCGUAGCAUUCACUAGGUUAUUAGAUAGCGUGACUGCGUCGUUAGGACGCGGGAAGGACAGUAGUACCCACCAGAUCGAGUAUAGCAGUGAGGAUAUGGAAAUCCACAGAUUGGAUUUCAGAGUUUCCCAGACGGAUUAGACUUGGUUAAGCCAAUGAUAAGACGGUAGAAGCGCCACUACAGAGAAGAGAGCAAAGAAGCAGUAGACUGCUUAAGGUCAUUUAUGGCAUAAGGCUACCGGUGGUCAUGUAGCAAUCACUUUUAGCCUUGGGUUUAGUGACGUCAGGACUCGACGUAUAGACUCGAUCAGUUAGAUCAACAAGUUAUUAGAGCCUCAGUGGCAUGGUAACUAGUGGCAACUGGUUCUAGAGAAGGAAUUUGUUCAGAAGUCGUGUGAGGCGACUAAGUAGGGAGCCCUUGGGCUCCGCAGUCAGGCUGGAACCCGGCAUUUCAGACGACUAAGAAAUGAAUUGAGACCAGGAAGGUCUCGAUAGAUGUUGGAGAGCAGCCAUGUAGCAACAUGCUGUUUUAGGUAGCUCAGUGUUUCAGGUAGUUGAGUGUUUCAGGCAGUUCAGUGUUCAGACAGUUCAGUGUUCAGGCAGUUCAGUGUUUCAGGCAGUACAGUGUUUCAGGAAGUACAGUCUUUCAGGCAGUACAGUGAUUCAGGCAGUUUAGUGUUCAGGCAGUUCAGUGUUUCAGGCAGUUAGUGUUUCAGGCAGUUCAGUGUUUUCAAGCAUAUCAGUGUUUCAAACAGUUUUGGGUCUCCAGCGGUAACGGUAACUGAGGACCUCAGGUAUAGUAAGCGUAACAGACUGCCAAGUAAUGCUAAGUCACCCUCCGUGGGGUUCAUCUAUAAUGAGUUAGUAUGAGUGAUCUGAUGGGGAUUCAGACCAUCUCGAGACAACAGAUUUCAGACAGGGUAGAUGUGAUCUUGUUGCUAGAAUUCGUUCAUCGGUAGAAUUUAGGGCCUUGCGAAGGAUAGUCACCUUGGGAAGACUAGGGUGUGCGCAUGAUUUUGACCAUGUUAUUUGAGUGGUUUGGCGUGUAAGGAAUGGUAUGGAAUGAUUUCGAGGACGAAAUCUAAUUUAAUUGGGGGAGAGUUGUAACACCCUAUUUAUUAAAUAAAUAAAUAGAUAAAGUUGAUGAAUGGAUACUAGCCCUAAAAUCAAUAAUUAUAUAAUAAGAGUUGGUCUCGAGGAGUUACUUGGCAUAAUUUAGAAGUUGAGGGUUAAAAGUGUAAGUUUCAGACUCAGUUUAUAAUUAAUUAUGAAGUCAGGGGCUCCGUGAUAAUUAUUUGGAUUUAAUUUAAAAAGAUUUUGGAAAAACAAGGUGCAAAUGCUAAAUUUUGGACUUAAGUUGAAAGGAAUUUGUAUGGAAGGGGUUAAAAAGGUAAAUAUAGAUCUAUUUUGAAAUAAAUGGUAGCUGGAGGGACCAUUUGUGACAUUAUGGAAUAAGUUUGAUAAGGGUGGUCGGGUAUAUAAGAUACCGGUAACCCUAAACCCUAACCUAAGGAUGCAGCCGCCAUCUUUCCUCUUCUUCUUCUACCGGUGGCCGCCAAGACUGUUGGAGUCGGAGGAACCGCCACCACCCGUUACGCUAGUCUUCCGACCCGUUGAGCUGCCAAGUGAGUGAAGCACCACGCUGUUGUUUUGCUGCCGACGAAUGCGUGAGUCAAGGUCGACGUUGGGGCCGCUGUGCCUCCAUCUCCUCCGUUAACGACGCAAGCCUGCUAUUCUUCUUCCUUCUCUGUUUCAGCCGACGAUACCUUUUCACUGGCCGAUGUCGCCGCUCCGGGCGACUGCCUCAUCGUCAUUAGCUUCUGUCCGUCGCUUGUCUCCGUGAUUGGGUAGUUGCGUUGUUUUGUAUGCAUUCGUAUCUCAUCCCAUGUCGGGGUGUGAAUGGGUUCAGCCGAAUGGAGGUCGUGAAGAACCACCAUGGCAGCCGCCCAUGGUGGUUGUCGCCGAUAACAGAGCUGAUGUCGCCUCUCCGGGGGUUCUGCCUUCACCAUGUGCCACUAGGUGGGUGGCUAGAGUUGUUUUGUAAUCAGUUAGGGCGUGUGUGAGUUACUUCAGUGAUGUAUGAUUUGGGUUGUUGGCCGGAUAGAUCAAGAAAGCCACCGCCACCACCGUGAGGUGGUGGUUGCCGCCGAGCACCGCCGCCGGCCACCAUGGUGUGGUUGUGUGUAUGAGUGUGUUAGUUAGUGUGUGUGGAUUAUGCUUGGAUGAAUCAUUGUAAUUGUAAUCAGUUUGUUUAAUAAGAAAAAAUAAUAGUAACCACCACCGUGAGCCGCCAUUGAACACCACUACCCGAGGUGGUAGUGGGUGGUGCCCCGCUAGCAAAUGCUAAUGGGCUUAGAGAAUUGUUUUGGGCCUAUUGGGCCAUGUUUG